Molecule: long non-coding RNA, 3335 nt
Organism: Cervus elaphus (red deer)
Lineage: Eukaryota; Metazoa; Chordata; Mammalia; Artiodactyla; Cervidae
Exons: 3
Source: RefSeq, a predicted model, not a curated record
AAGUCACACAGCAAAUGGCAGAGCUGGGACUCAAACCCAGGCAUUCUGCUCCCUAGCCCUUAGGCUUAACCCCUACAGGAUGCGGCCCCGUGGGAACAGGCAGGCACCUCAUUUAAAGGUGAAAUACCCUCCCAAGACCAGUGGCUAAAAUGAUCUCCAAGUUCCUACUCAGAGCCAUCUGCAGUCCUGGAAGUUAAACGGGGGUCAGGGAGCUUGAAAGACUUAAUUGCUGUUCAAUUUAGAUUUCCUGGCUGAAAGGCUUUCUGCUCAUCCUACUGGAAAUUAAUAGCCAAUUGUUUCUUUGCAUUCUUGUGGGAGGGUAAGCCCUUCUCCCUGGGCCCUGGCUGUUUCUGGAACAGUAAGCACUCAGUCAGUAUCAGCCAGGUAAAGGCUGGGAAGUGAAACCAAGUCUCUUUUGUUGAAGCUGGCAGCUUACUCCACUGGUCUAGGAGCUGGGGCCCCUCCUCCUGACUUUGCAGGAAAGUGCCCUUCUGUGCCUCUAACAGAGGGAGUCAGAGGAAGGAAAGGAGGUUGUUAGGAGAAGGGGCACAAGGUCCUCAAAGGAAGCAUGAGAAGCAGCAACCAUAGCAUCUGUAGAAGUGACCCUGCACUAUUAACAGUGGAUCCUGCUUAGCACAGCUCCAUUCAUCUCCCUGUGGAACCGCAGCACGGCGGGGCUCAGACAGGCUGGGCGACCACGGUGGACACCUUCACAAAGGCUGAAGUCAUCAUAUUUCAUCCUCACCUCCCUCCCUGGGAGACAGUCAGGAUUGAGAUGGAUUACACUUGUUCAUGAGCUAACGUUUCAAGUGAGAGUUGGAUGGAGGCUUAAUAGAAUUAAUUAAUUCUCCGUGUUCCAAGAAGGGAGGGAAAAGGGAGAUACGGGAAAACUCUCCACCACAGCAGGCUCUCUGGUGGCCCCAGAGAUCCUGGCAGGUGCUCACUGGUUUCUUUCUACGCCCUGAUUUCCUUUGGGGCAAGGUUAGUUUUGUUCAGAGCAAUGAGGAAAAGCAGCCUUUCCCUGAUGGCUUGUUAUUUGUACAGGAAAUGAGCUCUAUGGGUUUGGAUAUUCAGAGUGUCGACUUCAGGCUGCACAGGGGCCAGGUUCCCUCCCUGCUCCCCCCUCCGCAAUCUCUCCCUUUGGAGCAGGGACAGAAAUCUCAAUCCCUAAAGCGAGAGACAGCAGGUGGUGUUUAAAAGCUAAGACUUCGGGGCUAGAAUGCCUUGCUAAGAGUUCCAGCGCUGACACUACUUUUAGUAUGGACCUUCAUGUUCUCAUCUGCAGAAUGGGGUUAAUAACCGUACCUCUUCCAAAGAUGACUGUGACAACGAAAGGUGAAGCCCCUAGUUCAGAGUCUGACAUAUAGUGCCACAUACCUAUGCUGUGUGCUGCUGGCUGGUAAGGAAAAUUAAUGUGGAUAAAGGUGUCUGGGUAAUAGGAAGGGGGAUGCUAUGCCAAUUUAGACAGAAUGUGCUCCAUCUGAACUAGACAGCCUGAACCUGUGGGCAUAUAGACCCAGUGUUGCCAAAAUCUUCCAGUUUUUCAAAAGAAGCCCCCCGUCCAGAUUUUGUGUGACAUCUUCUAAGUUGUGAAUGCUGAUGAUGAAUUUAAAAAACAUGAGAUGCUGGGCUGCACAGGACAAUCAGUGGGUCUGAUGCAGCUGGGGGCCUGCAGAUGGUGGCCUCUGCUUACUUAUUCCAUGCUGUCCCUGCAGAAUGGUGGAGACCAAAGCCAUGCAGCUUCCAGGAAACACAGAGUCACCAGCUUAACACAGGACCAAGAGCCUGGCCUCAUGCAUCAAGCUUUGUGAAUUGCAUCCUGGCUCCAACCCACUCUCAGCUAUGUGACUUUGAACAAGUAACUUUACUUCUCUGUACCUCAUUUUUAUUUGCAAAAUUACUAGUGCCUGCAUCCUGUAAAUAGCCACCCACCAUCUGGACUUUAUCUGCCACUGUCCCAGCAGGAAGCUUACUUAGACUGGGAUGCCUUUUCCCCACUGAGUGCCCCUGGGCUCAGCACUGCUAACCUACCACUGACCAUUCAAGUCUCAGCUGCUCGCCCCUGUCCUCUGUCCUUUGUGAUUGUCAAAUCCUACUUUGGAUGCAAUAAAAGCAAUUCAUCCACCUCUGUAUUUCAUGGAAGCUGCAUGGUUUUGGUCUCCUCCAUUCUGCAGUGACAGCUGCAUUAGAAGGAAAUGAAGUGAUAUAUGUGAAAAGUUAGUAUAGGACCAACCACAUCAAAAUUACUCAAUAAAUAUUAUUAUUAAUAUAAGUAACCAUCAUUUAAAUAAAUAUUAGCUUUUAUUACACACAAAGCAAUAGAAAGUUAUGAAGCACUUAAUGGGUCUGAGUUUUAAAUCCGGGCUCCAUGGGAAAUAUUAGGACAUUGAGGACAGGCCCUAAAUCUUACUUACUACUAAAUCCCCAACGUGGAGCACAGUCUUCAUUGAAUAAGGGUCUCCUGUGUAAAAAAUUAACAAUGAAAGAUUAAUGCUGCUCAGGUCAUCAAUAGAAGGGCAAUCUGAAGCAGAAGGGUGUGAAUAUCUGAAAGAGUCAAAUACAAUUCCAUUGAAUAUUCAGUUUCAGAAGAAAUCAACUCAGAUGCAAGCAGUCAGGGGAAAGUCUCAAGGAAACAAAGGUGUGGCUUGGCUAGGAAGCAAAAACACAUACCAAGAGUGCUGAGUAAAUGGAGAUGGUGACAAAGUGCUAGGUGUGUUUCAGGGACAGUGAGCAAAGGAAUUUGACGGGGGCAGAGUGGUCAGAACAGUUAGUAGGUGAAAGAAAUCUGGAAAGCUGGACUGACACUUUAUUGAAGAAGGCCUUCAAAGCCAAGCAAUGGUAGAGAUUGCUAGAUGUCUCUCCUUCCUUUUGAACAAAAUUCUUAGUUUAUUCACUAAAUACAUUGAUACUAUACUUCUCAGCCUCAGUGGUAGCUGGGUGCAGCCAUGUGACUAGAUUCUGAUUUAGUUGAGGCCAAUGAGACUUAAUGAGAUUUAAAUUCUGGGAUGUUGACCCAAUGGCUGGAGCUUUAGCAGCCAUCCUAGCUCUAGAGGCAAAAUGCUAAGGCUUUUGGCCGGAAGGAAGGAAAGAGCCAGUCUCCCUCAUCAGCCUCAGAUAUUCUUCCUCUGAGUGGCUACUAAAGAGAGAAAUAAACUUUACUGUUUAAGUCACUGUUAUUUGGGUCUAUUUUAACAUGCAGCCAAACAUAAUCCUAACUGAUACACAAGUCAAAGACUUUAUGCUUUAUCCUGGGAUAUCAGGCAACCAUUGGAAAUUUUUUUGGUGAGUAACAAGAUUCCCUGGUGGCUCAGAUAGCAAAGAGUCCACCAGCAAUG